CAAACAGUAAUUCAAAGGGGUUAUUAAGGAAAAACUAGCAAAUUUAUAAAAAAGGAGGGCACAAGUCCAAAAGCCACAAUUUAACCGAAAGGUGAUCAAGUUUCAUUAGAUUUAUUUAAUGUUGACAAAGAAUGUAGGCGAUCCUAAGGGAAACCUUUAUAUUUAAACUUCCCGAAGUAAAACAUUUCAUUAGGGAAAGGAAAGGAAAUCAACCGAGACUCCGAAAGUAAUGGCGAGUGAAAUCGGACCAGCCUUUAUUAAAAAAAAAUAAAAAAUAAAUUUAACAAAAAUACACACCAGAAACCAAAGAAGGUAAGAUAGUCCUGUAUGUUAAAUCUUUUUAAAUUAAUGUUUAAAUAAGUAUUAUUAAAUUAAAAUUUAUUUAAAUAAUGAGUACGACGAGAGUGAACUUGUCGGAAUAUAGGGGAACCAUCCUCUAAGGCUAAGUAUUUAUAAAUUUAGCGAUAGUGAAAAGUACCGUGAGGGAAAGUUUGAAACAGUUAUGUAAUUUUAGACAUAAAUGAAAUAGUUGAAUUAGUAACUCUAUAAGCAGUCGAAAUUUAUAAUUAUAAAUGACGGCGUACCUUUUGCAUAAUGGGUCAGCAAGUUAAUAGGAGUAGCAAGGUUAAAAGCCUUAGUGAAAGCGACCACACUAACUAGCUAAAAGUAUUCUUAAUUUCAUAGAUAUUAAGAAUAGGAUAUCCUUCAUAGUCAUAAGGCUAAGAAGUUAAAUAUUUUCUAGGGAUAUAGUGAAGGGUAAGUUACUUCUAUUAGACCCGAAGCUAGGUGAUCUUCCUAAGACCAGAUUAUAAUGGAUCGAACGGGUGAAUGUAGCAAAAUUCUCCGAAGAGUUUUAGGAAGCGGUGAAAUGCCAAUCUGACCUAGUGAUAGCUGGUUUUCUACGAAACAUAUGUAAGUAUGACAUCUAAACAAAAUUUAUGGUGGUACAGCACUGAGUUCCCAACUAUUUCUUUUUAAAGGAAAAGUUUAGGUUGCGGGGACGUCGAAAAUCUUACCAAUGGAAGAGAAUCUCGGAAUGACAUAAAUUGAUGUUAGAUAUUCAGACUGCUCAUGCGAAGUUGGGUAGUCAAGACGGAAACAGCCGAGAACACGAAACAAGGUCCCAAAUGAUUUUUAAGUGAAAUGAAGGAAGUAAUAUAUUGAAUGCAGCUGUAAAGUGAGCCUGGUAGUCGCUAUCUUUUAAUAAACGUAAAGUAACAACGUAGCAGCCUUAUACAAUAGAAUAUUACGCCAAAAAUUUAACGGGUCUCAAAAAAUCAACCGAUAUCGUGUUUAUUUUGAAUAAUAAAAAAAAUUAAUGUUCAAUAUAUAGGUAGUAGAACAUUCAGUAUACUGAUGAUAAAACAGUGUUUCAUUGUUUUUAGGUCACUGAAGAGAGAAUGCUGACAUGAGUAACGUAAAAAGAAGUUAUAAUACUUCUCGCCGAAUACGAAAGGGUUGUAAGGAAAGGUUAAACCACCUUAUGUUAAUGCGGCCUCUAAGGAACAAAACCAAAGUUUUGUCUGAUGAGUAUGAAUUAGAAAGUCCUUUUUAAAUAAAAUUUAUAAAAGGGACCAGGAAAAGAAUACAUUCUUAACUACCGUACCCUAAACCGACACAGGUUCGUAAGUAGAGUAUACUAAGGCGUAGAGCUAAAAGUUGUUAAGGAACUCGGCAAGUUCUCCUCAUAAGUUUGACGAUAAGAGGAACCCUUUAAAGGGUGGCACAAAAUCGGAGGCCCCGACUGUUUACUAAAAACACAAUUCAGAGCAAUGAUGAAAAAUCAUAGUAUUCUGGAUGAAAUUUGCCCAAUGCCAUUAACAUAAAAGAGGUUAUGGGUAACUGUAACUGAUUGAAAGUCUGGUUAAUAGCGGUCUUAACUAUGAGGAUCCAAAGGUAGCAAAAUAAAUUGGCCAUUAAAUGUGGUCUGGUAUCAAUAGUGUAACGAUGGUCUCACUGUCUCUACAACUUGCUCAGUGAAAUUGAAUUACCCGUGCAGAUGCGGGUUGCCUCCAGGUGGACGGGAAGACCCUAUGCAGCUUUACUGUAGUUAGCUAUCAUAUCGAUCUACAACAACCUCGGUUAAUAGUAAUUAGGGAUGUCGAUUGACGAGAGAUGGAAUACCUUCUGACUUUGGUUGGGUCAAUAUUUACCUUUUUAAGUCAUAUGUCAUAUAUGACUCAAAUUUUAUUUUUCUUUUGUUUAUUAUACUCAUAUUUUGUUAUAUAGUGUUAUAUGACAUUAGCUUAUAAGGGAUAGGUGGCUAAUUGGCAGUUUGACUGGGGCGGUCGUCUUUGAUAAAGUAGCAAAGUACAUCCAAAGAUAUUUAUUUAUUAUAAGCAAUCUUUUUUUUUAAAAAGAUACUAACUAAAAAUCAUAGUAUCUGUAUAAACUAUGAAGAAUAUAAUUUAUUAUAUUUUUUAUUAACUUAAGGUAUAGCUAGAAAAUUGAAUGGAAAUCAAUCAACCAGUGUGAAAGGUUGUAAUCGGCGUAAUGGCGGAAAGCAUGCCUAACUGAAAGACUUAGAAGUCGAACAGAUACGUAAGUAGGGCAUAGUGACCCUUCGCUAUAUUAUGGAAUAGACGGGGAUCAAUCGAUAAAAGUUACGCUAGGGAUAACAGGCUGAUAGCUGGUGAGAGUACACAUUGUCCCGGCUGUUUGGCACCUCGAUGUCGACUCAACCUAUCCUCCGGGGGUAGAAGCUUGGAAGGGUUCGGCUGUUCGCCGAUUAAAAGGUUACGCGAGUUGGGUUUAAUACGACGUGAGUCAGUAUGGUCCCUAUCUUCUGGAGGGAUAAAUAGUAAAAAGGGGCAGACCUUCUAGUACGAAAGGAUCAAUAGGCUGUGUUUCCCUAGUGUACCAAUUGUAAUUCUCUGUUUUUUAAUUUUUUUUUAAGAUUAAAGAAAGUUUAGAGCAUAGUUGGGUAGCCACAAACAUGAUAGAUAAGCGCUGAAUGAAUAUUAAGCAGGAAGCUAUCCCCUAGAUACUAUCUUAUUGAUUAUCAAUUUAAUUAAUAUUUUUUAUUAAUUUUCUUUUUAAUCAAUGUGAAUAAGAAAUAGAACAUUUCUAAAUAGGAUGUGAAUGUAAGUGCUGUAA
This 3096-nucleotide ribosomal RNA is filed under the name Ganoderma calidophilum. RNAcentral's name for it is "large subunit ribosomal RNA". It matches the Rfam family "Bacterial large subunit ribosomal RNA". The record is from RNAcentral. Lineage: Eukaryota; Fungi; Basidiomycota; Agaricomycetes; Polyporales; Polyporaceae.